AAACUUACUUGGACGAGGUCAAUGAGUGAUCAACAACUCUCAUGGUCUAGGUUGGUGACCUCCAUUGCACUGUGGAGGGGUGUUUGCCUAAGGUCGACCCAAGUGGUCGAGUUUACGUCAUAAAUCAUCAGACAUUUUUUAUGAAACAAGUCUAU
Molecule: small nuclear RNA, 155 nt
Organism: Cynara cardunculus var. scolymus (artichoke)
Lineage: Eukaryota; Viridiplantae; Streptophyta; Magnoliopsida; Asterales; Asteraceae
Product: U1 spliceosomal RNA
Exons: 1
Source: RefSeq, a predicted model, not a curated record